UAGUGGCGAACGGGUGAGUAACACGUGGGCAAUCUGCCCUGUACUUUGGGAUAAGCCUGGGAAACUGGGUCUAAUACCGGAUAUGACUUCCGCGGGCAUCCGUGGUGGUGGAAAGCUCCGGCGGUACAGGAUGAGCCCGCGGCCUAUCAGCUUGUUGGUGGGGUAAUGGCCUACCAAGGCGACGACGGGUAGCCGGCCUGAGAGGGUGACCGGCCACACUGGGACUGAGACACGGCCCAGACUCCUACGGGAGGCAGCAGUGGGGAAUAUUGCACAAUGGGCGCAAGCCUGAUGCAGCGACGCCGCGUGAGGGAUGACGGCCUUCGGGUUGUAAACCUCUUUCGCCAGGGACGAAGCGCAAGUGACGGUACCUGGAUAAGAAGCACCGGCUAACUACGUGCCAGCAGCCGCGGUAAUACGUAGGGUGCGAGCGUUGUCCGGAAUUAUUGGGCGUAAAGAGCUCGUAGGCGGUUUGUCGCGUCGUUCGUGAAAACUCCACGCUUAACGUGGAGCGUGCGGGCGAUACGGGCAGACUUGAGUUCGGUAGGGGAGACUGGAAUUCCUGGUGUAGCGGUGAAAUGCGCAGAUAUCAGGAGGAACACCGGUGGCGAAGGCGGGUCUCUGGGCCGAUACUGACGCUGAGGAGCGAAAGCGUGGGGAGCGAACAGGAUUAGAUACCCUGGUAGUCCACGCUG
This 695-nucleotide ribosomal RNA is filed under the name Amycolatopsis sp. RNAcentral's name for it is "bacterial SSU rRNA". It matches the Rfam family "Bacterial small subunit ribosomal RNA", at positions 93 to 802 of the family's 1533-position model. The record is from RNAcentral. Lineage: Bacteria; Bacillati; Actinomycetota; Actinomycetes; Pseudonocardiales; Pseudonocardiaceae.